RNAcentral lists this ribosomal RNA (490 nucleotides) under uncultured bacterium. RNAcentral describes it as "partial 16S ribosomal RNA". It matches the Rfam family "Bacterial small subunit ribosomal RNA", at positions 30 to 507 of the family's 1533-position model. The record is from RNAcentral.
AUUGAACGCUGGCGGCAGGCCUAACACAUGCAAGUCGAACGGUAACAGGAAGAAGCUUGCUUCUUUGCUGACGAGUGGCGGACGGGUGAGUAAUGUCUGGGAAACUGCCUGAUGGAGGGGGAUAACUACUGGAAACGGUAGCUAAUACCGCAUAACGUCGCAAGACCAAAGAGGGGGACCUUCGGGCCUCUUGCCAUCGGAUGUGCCCAGAUGGGAUUAGCUAGUAGGUGGGGUAACGGCUCACCUAUGCGACGCUCCCUAGCUGGUCUGAGAGGGUGACCAGCCAGCCUGGAAGUGAGACACGGUCCAGACUCCUACGGGAGGCAGCAGUGGGGAAUAUUGCACAAUGGGCGAAAGCCUGAUGCAGCCAUGCCGCGUGUAUGAAGAAGGCCUUCGGGUUGGAAAGUACUUUCGGCGGGGAGGAAGGGAGUAAAGUUAAUACCUUUACUCAUUGACGUUACCCGCAGAAGAAGCACCGGCUAACUCCGUG